GAAAAGACUUGCUCUUUGAGUUACGGCGGACGGGUGAGUACACGUGGGUACCUGCCCAUAAGACUGGGAUAACUCCGGGAAACCGGGGCUAAUACCGGAUAACAUUUUGAACUGCAUGGUUCGAAAUUGAAAGGCGGCUUCGGCUGUCACUUAUGGAUGGACCCGCGUCGCAUUAGCUAGUUGGUGAGGUAACGGCUCACCAAGGCAACGAUGCGUAGCCGACCUGAAGAGGGUGAUCGGCCCACACUGGGACUGAGACACGGCCCAGACUCCUACGGGAGGCAGCAGUAGGGAAUCUUCCGCAAUGGACGAAAGUCUGACGGAGCAACGCCGCGUGAGUGAUGAAGGCUUUCGGGUCGUAAAACUCUGUUGUUAGGGAAGAACAAGUGCUAGUUGAAUAAGCUGGCACCUUGACGGUACCUAACCAGAAAGCCACGGCUAACUACGUGCCAGCAGCCGCGGUAAUACGUANGUGGCAAGCGUUAUCC
Molecule: ribosomal RNA, 488 nt
Filed under: Bacillus sp. enrichment culture clone A4g
Lineage: Bacteria; Bacillati; Bacillota; Bacilli; Caryophanales; Bacillaceae
Description: bacterial SSU rRNA
Rfam family: Bacterial small subunit ribosomal RNA
Source: RNAcentral